Jatropha curcas is the source of this 2631-nucleotide non-coding RNA. The record is from RefSeq and is a predicted model, not a curated record. Lineage: Eukaryota; Viridiplantae; Streptophyta; Magnoliopsida; Malpighiales; Euphorbiaceae.
CUUCCUCCCAUUUUCUUUUUUAGGUAAGCUAGCGAAAAAUUUACAAAGCUCUCUGUGUAAAGGUACAGACUCUCUGGAACGCAUUUGAUGCUAAGAUUUUGGAUUUGGGUAAUGAGUAUUUUUUAGUUCAUUUUAAACAUGAGCAUGAGUGUCAAAUAGCGCUUUUGGAAGGCACUUGGAGAAUGAUGGGCAGCUGUCUUUAGGUUAUUCCUUGGUCCAGAAGUUUCGAUGUCCUUCAACAGAGAUAACCUCAGCCAUAGUGUGGCUUCGCUUGCCUGGUUUACCAUUACAUUUAUACAAUAAAUAUGUUUUGCGUGGCAUAUGCAAAGUGUUGGGACGGGUUGUUAAAAUUGAUUAUAAUACAGAGGACGGCUUCGAGGCAAGUUUGCAAGGAUUGUUAUGGAGGUCAACAUAAAGGAUCCAUUGGUUUCUAAAGUGAAAAUUGAAGGGAAAGUGCACUAUGUUGAAUACGAAAAUCUCUCUGAUAUUUGUUACUGCUGUGAACAUAUAGGACAUGCAGAUUCACUUUAUCCUCAUCGUUCUUUUGUAAAUCAAGAUGAAGUUGUUCCUCCCCCUGCGAAAGCUCCUGUGGUAGAGCCGCCAGUGGAUGAGCAUUUGGCCCUUGGAUGGUGGCUUCUCAACGGGGAGACGUGGGCCAAUACGGAGAGAAUCUUUUACUGCAGUCAAUGGAUCGAGAUUUACUGCAUUGGAGAUUGAGGGUGAAGGUCAACUUCCUGAUACGGUAGCAAACGUUAAGGAACAAAAUUAUGGUAUCUCCAUACCUCGUUGUUUUGUGUAUGGAAAAUUUAUCCCAGAGUAUUAAUGUGGAGGUGCAAUGGGGUAAUUGGAAACCAAUUUCUCUUUGUCGAGGAGGUCCCCAGUUAUCCCAUUUAUUUUUUGCUGAUUACUUGAUCUUGUUUGCUGAUGUUUCUAUUGCUCAAGCUACUGUUUUAAAGCAGGUCCUUGAUAAUUUCUGUGCAUCUUCGGGCCAAAGGGUUAAUGCUCAGAAGACCCGUAUUUACUUCUCUAAGAAUACUCAUGUUUCUCAACCGCGACAAGUUUCUUCUCUUUGAGUUUUCAGGAAAUCAGAGACUUUGGGAAGUAUCUGGGAAUGCCUGUUCUCCACUCCAGAGCUUCUAAGAAGACCUAUAAAUUCAUCUUAGAUAGAGUCACUGCCAAAUUAAAUAGUUGGUCGAUGACGUCUCUCUCUCUUGCCGGGUAUGUUAUUUUGGCUAACUCGGUCAUCUCAGCUAUCCCUAGUUAUGCUAUGCAAACUGUCCUUUUGCCUAAAGCUAUUUCCAGUGAGACUGAGAAAGCCUCUCAUUCUUUUAUCUGGGGUUUAGCACGUGGUGCCCUUAAGAUACCACUUGUUACGUGGAGGACAGUGGCGUCUCCUUAGUCUGUUGGUGGCCUUGGUUUUCGAAGUCUCCAUCUCUUUAAUAUUGCUUUUUUGUUAAAGCUUGAAUGGGGUUUGAUCCAUAAUUCGUCUGCUUUCUGGGUGAGGGUUCUUCGCCAUAAAUAUAAAUGGUUCUCCACUGAGAUUCCCACUAUGCUUGCUGGUUCUCAUAGCUCGAUUCUUUGGCGCAAUCUUGAAGCUGUUUGGUCUUUUUUAUUACGAGGGAAUGAAUGGAGUAUUGGUAAUGGUAUUUCUAUUCGAUUUUGGCUUGACCCUUGGGUUUCAGGUGUGGGUCCGCUUUGUGAUAAGGCUAUUGGGGAGAUUCCAUCUGAUCAAAGGUCUCUCUGUUUGCGGGAGUUUGUCACGGCCAAUUAUGCUUGGGAUUGGGCUAAUUAAGUCUGCGUAUAAUAUGCUUGCCUCUGUUGAUGAUUCGGCGGCUGUGUGAAAUUGGAAGAUCAUCUGGCAUUGGAAAGGCCCGCAACGGGUUAGAUUGUUCUUAUGGCUAGCGAUUCAUGCGAGGCUUCUCACUAAUGCAGAGAGAUUUCGUCAGUAUUUUUUAUUGGAAGUUGUGGCUCCGGAAGAAUCAGUUUAUCUUUCUUGGACAAGGGAUAUCUGUUUCUAGUUUUGUUUUUGCAAAUCUCUUUUGUCCGUGAGGUUAGUCACGCGACUGAUUUACAUACUGGAGCUCACGCCUGUCCGCCAAGAAAGGAAUUCUGGAUUAGUUAAGAGUUCCUGCCUAGUGGUUGGAUAUAGUUGGUGUUGUUCGAGGUAGCCCCAAGAUUGUGACUGGUGGUGGUAUUUUACGUGACAGCGCUGGGCAAUGGUUUUCUAGGUAUGCAGCUUGUUGGGGUUCUUGUUCCGUCAUUUGAGCGGAAUUAAUGGCUGUUUGGGAAGGGCUUAGACUUGCCAAAAGUUUUAAUAUUCAUGGCCUGAUUCUUGAAUGUGAUAAUAAACAGGUUGUUGAUUGGUUAAGUUCGGACAGCCAGCCUGCUAACGGUUACAGGUCCCUCUAUUGUUAGAGCUAUUAAAAUGAUGCUUUAAGGGAGUUGGGUUGUCCAGGCUUUUCAUGUCUAUAGGGAAGCUAAUCAAUGUGCAGAGUAGCUGGCUUCUCAUGCUUUCUCUCAUGGCCUGUCCAUCCUCUUUAUUCUCCUUCUAUCGACUCUUGUGGCUCUUCUUGAAAGCUCCCUUUAAUCCAAAAAAUAAUAAUAAUAAAGGAAAUUAUUUUUCAUUAUAUA